RNAcentral lists this ribosomal RNA (253 nucleotides) under uncultured bacterium. RNAcentral's name for it is "partial 16S ribosomal RNA". It matches the Rfam family "Bacterial small subunit ribosomal RNA", at positions 524 to 776 of the family's 1533-position model. The record is from RNAcentral.
UACGUAGGGGGCAAGCGUUGUCCGGAUUCAUUGGGCGUAAAGAGCGUGUAGGCGGCCAGGUAGGUCGGUUGUGAAAACUGGAGGCUCAACCUUCAGAGGUCGACCGAAACCAUCUGGCUAGAGCCCGGGAGAGGAGAGUGGAAUUCCUGGUGUAGCGGUGAAAUGCGCAGAUACCAGGAAGAACACCCGUGGCGAAAGCGGCUCUCUGGAACGGUACUGACGCUGAGACGCGAAAGCGUGGGGAGCGAACAGG